ACUCCUACGGGAGGCAGCAGUGGGGAAUAUUGGACAAUGGGCCACAAGCCUGAUCCAGCAAUUCUGUGUGCACGAUGAAGGUCUUCGGAUUGUAAAGUGCUUUCAGUUGGGAAGAAGAAAGUGACGGUACCAACAGAAGAAGCGACGGCUAAAUACGUGCCAGCAGCCGCGGUAAUACA
RNAcentral lists this ribosomal RNA (179 nucleotides) under uncultured bacterium. Its description in RNAcentral is "partial 16S ribosomal RNA". It matches the Rfam family "Bacterial small subunit ribosomal RNA", at positions 335 to 527 of the family's 1533-position model. The record is from RNAcentral.